AGACAACUCUCAACAACGGAUAUCUUGGCUCUCGCAACGAUGAAGAACGCAGCGAAAUGCGAUACGUAGUGUGAAUUGCAGAAUUCCGUGAAUCAUCGAAUUUUUGAACGCAUAUUGCGCCCGAGG
This 126-nucleotide ribosomal RNA is filed under the name Nephroselmis rotunda. RNAcentral describes it as "5.8S ribosomal RNA". It matches the Rfam family "5.8S ribosomal RNA", at positions 1 to 122 of the family's 154-position model. From Rfam's summary of the family: 5.8S ribosomal RNA (5.8S rRNA) is a component of the large subunit of the eukaryotic ribosome. The record is from RNAcentral. Lineage: Eukaryota; Viridiplantae; Chlorophyta; Nephroselmidophyceae; Nephroselmidales; Nephroselmidaceae.